Molecule: non-coding RNA, 200 nt
Organism: Pseudopodoces humilis (Tibetan ground-tit)
Lineage: Eukaryota; Metazoa; Chordata; Aves; Passeriformes; Paridae
Source: RefSeq, a predicted model, not a curated record
CGGAAGCGGAAGCGCCCGGAGCGGCAUGGAGGAGGCGGCGGCGGGUGGGAGGGUGUUGCUGGCCCUGCCCGGGGUCGCUGUCCCCGUGUCCCUCCCCCCGCGGCUGCUGAGGGGACACCUCCGACUGCUGAGGGGGCCGCAGGACCUGGUGCUGCAAUGGGAACCCCUGGAGGGGCCCUGGGAACCCCCCGGUGACGCGG